RNAcentral lists this ribosomal RNA (262 nucleotides) under uncultured bacterium. RNAcentral's name for it is "partial 16S ribosomal RNA". It matches the Rfam family "Bacterial small subunit ribosomal RNA", at positions 189 to 439 of the family's 1533-position model. The record is from RNAcentral.
ACGCCCUACGGGGGAAAGGAGGGGACCUUCGGGCCUUUCGCGAUUGGAUGAACCCAGGUGGGAUUAGCUAGUUGGUGGGGUAAUGGCUCACCAAGGCGACGAUCCCUAGCUGGUCUGAGAGGAUGAUCAGCCACACUGGAACUGAGACACGGUCCAGACUCCUACGGGAGGCAGCAGUGGGGAAUAUUGCACAAUGGGGGAAACCCUGAUGCAGCCAUGCCGCGUGUGUGAAGAAGGCCUUCGGGUUGUAAAGCACUUUCAG